UACGGGGGGGGCAAGCGUUGUUCGGAAUUACUGGGCGUAAAGCGCGUGUAGGCGGCCACGCAAGUCGGGCGUGAAAUCCCACGGCUCAACCGUGGAAGUGCACUCGAAACUGCGUCGCUAGAGUCCUGGAGAGGAAGGUGGAAUGCUUGGUGUAGAGGUGAAAUUCGUAGAUAUCAAGCGGAACACCGGUGGCGAAGGCGGCCUUCUGGACAGUGACUGACGCUGAGACGCGAAAGCGUGGGGAGCAAACAGG
Molecule: ribosomal RNA, 253 nt
Filed under: uncultured bacterium
Lineage: Bacteria
Description: partial 16S ribosomal RNA
Rfam family: Bacterial small subunit ribosomal RNA
Source: RNAcentral